AAAUUUAACUCCAACCCCUGUGNACAUACCUUACUGUUGCCUCGGCGGAUCAGCCCGCUCCCGGUAAAACGGGACGGCCCGCCAGAGGACCCCUAAACUCUGUUUCUAUAUGUAACUUCUGAGUAAAACCAUAAAUAAAUCAAAACUUUCAACAACGGAUCUCUUGGUUCUGGCAUCGAUGAAGAACGCAACAAAAUGCGAUAAGUAAUGUGAAUUGCAAAAUUCAGUGAAUCAUCGAAUCUUUGAACGCACAUUGCGCCCGCCAGUAUUCUGGCGGGCAUGCCUGUUCGAGCGUCAUUUCAACCCUCAAGCCCUCGGGUUUGGUGUUGGGGAUCGGCGAGCCUUUCUGGCAAGCCGGCCCCGAAAUCUAAUGGCGGUCUCGCUGCAGCCUCCAUUGCGUAUCAGUAAAACCCUCGCAACUGGAACGCGGCGCGGCCAAGCCGUUAAACCCCCAACUUCUGAAUGUUGACCUCGGAUCAGGUAGGAAUACCCGCUGAACUUAAGCAUAUCAAUAAGCGGAGGGAAA
RNAcentral lists this ribosomal RNA (526 nucleotides) under Fusarium oxysporum f. sp. ciceris. RNAcentral's name for it is "eukaryotic LSU rRNA". The stretch from base 144 to 297 matches the Rfam family "5.8S ribosomal RNA". The record is from RNAcentral. Lineage: Eukaryota; Fungi; Ascomycota; Sordariomycetes; Hypocreales; Nectriaceae.